RNAcentral lists this ribosomal RNA (441 nucleotides) under uncultured bacterium. RNAcentral's name for it is "partial 16S ribosomal RNA". It matches the Rfam family "Bacterial small subunit ribosomal RNA", at positions 338 to 795 of the family's 1533-position model. The record is from RNAcentral.
CCUACGGGUGGCAGCAGUGGGGAAUCUUGCACAAUGGGCGAAACCCUGAUGCAGCAACGCCGCGUGAGUGAAGAAGGUUUUCGGAUCGUAAAGCCCUGUUUGCAGGGAAGAGGAUGCACGGUACCUGCAGAGGACGCUACGGCUAAAUACGUGCCAGCAGCCGCGGUAAUACGUAGGUGGCAAGCGUUGUUCGGAAUUACUGGGCGUAAAGGAUGCGUAGGCGGUUAAACAAGUUAUAUGUUAAAUAUAUAGGCUUAACCUGUAGAAAGCAUAUGAAACUGGUAGACUAGAGUGCAGGAGAGGUGAGUGGAAGUCCUAGUGUAGCGGUGAAAUGCGUAGAGAUAAGGAAGAACACCAGUGGCGAAGGCGACUUGCUGGACUGUAACUGACGCUGAGGCAUGAGAGCAUGGGGAGCAAACAGGAUUAGAUACCCGUGUAGUC